CUAUAUACCCUCCUUGUGCUCAUAGUGACGAAAAGAUUCACUUACUUCCUAAAAAGAUGUAACAUCUGAUCAGAAUCUACUACUUAAAGCAAAAUCACUUACCUUCCUAAAGCAGUAUCACUUCCUGCAUCCUAGAAAUGUCACCACAGGUCAGGUUUGAACUGGAGAGCAGAAGGGCCAGAGUACAGGAGAUUCAAAACAGUAAUGAGUUCACCGUCUUUUCAUCCUCGUGCCCUGGUAUACAGACUGGAUGGGGACCUAAAAUACCUUUCCACUUUGGAGCCAGAGAAACUAAAAGGAGAAUCUAGCUGUGGGGGUGGAAGAUGCUCAGCUUUCCCACCUUCAUGUGCGGGGUGAACUCUGGAAUUGUCAACACUGCAAGCUGGGAAUUGCUAGGCUUGCUGACUGCCCAUGAAAAACAAUGGAAGGCCAUCUUUUCUUGGGCCUUAUAAAAGACACGAAAUCCUGCCUGCUACUUUCCACUAAUAUUAAUUAUUCUUAAAUGCCACCUGUAAUUUUUACUGUUACAAAUGUUCCAGAGGUGAUGCUAUUAUACCUGAAUUCUAGCAAAGUCUAGCCAAACAAUUGUAUUAAAGUUGCAUAGUAACACAAUGAAUAAAGAUAUAUUCAUACCAAUACGUAUAAUUACAAAAGAAGUUGCAGACAAGCCUGAAUGUCAUUUGGAAUGCAUAGCAACUUCAGAGACUAACGUCUUGGAGUGAACCCUGGCACUUUACGUGAUGCUAAUGGAAAACCAUGUAGGUGAUUCCACAUCCUGUUAUAUAUUGAGGUCAGUAAUCAGGGACAGCAUCGAAAUCAAGUAAGUGGUUUUUAAAUUAUUGUGUAGGAAGAUAUUAUUUAGAUUUACUAUGCUUAGAUUUUCUGAUCAAUUAACAGGUCAUGACCAAGCAGAGCUUACAUUAUUCCAAGUGCCGCAAUGAACGAUUUCCCUCAUUAAUAAAAUGCACCCAUCCUAAGUUCAUUCAAGCAGCUGUUGCAUUUAUCAUACUUAUAUUUACAAAUGACGAUAAUGAUCACAUAAUGUUGUUAUUAUCACUUUUUGGAAAGGAUCCAGGAUUUGUUUUCUUGGAACUCCUGUGGGCCCUUCCAUUUCAAAUGUAAAAUACAUAAAAUAUUUAGUGUGUUUCAAUUGAGGAGUGGAAGUACAUUUCACCAUUAUUUAGAUGUAAUAAAUAUACAAUAAGCCAGACAUAGAAGCUCAGUCCUUUCAAGUCCCAUUUAUCACAAUAGACUAUCAUAGGAAAAUUAAGAUUCAAAGUUGGGGGAAACUGACUUGCUAUUACACUUUCUAAUAGCUGGGGUGAAUAUUUUCAAACACUUUAGAUAGAUUCAAACACAAAUGAAUUUAUGUUACAUCGUAAUUCUGGAACCUAAGUAUGGUUUACUGCUCACCUGCACUUCCUCCCCACUCAACAGCCACUUUUGUUUACAUCUUGUGGACUAAGCCUGAGUCAGAUGAUUCCACAUCUUGAGAAUUUCAACUCCAUCAUAGUCCAUUUCACUGGAAACUAGAAAUGUAUCCCAACACAAUAGGCCUCAUCAUCAUCACUCACCACAUCACUGACAUCUCUACAGCACAAAACAUUUCCUCUUUAAACUAAAACAAAUGCUGAUGAUAAUGGGGCAGUCAGAAUUCAAAACUUCUUUCUAUGUCUUAAAUAACUACAUCUUGCACAGCCUUAAAUUACAUUGUGAUAUGUUUUUACACAUACAGUGUAAAAAAAUAGCUUUAUCAUAGAAAUGUAUCAAUUCAAGAAGAGGGGAAAGAAAGGUUAAAGUGUUUAUUUGGAUGAAGCAGAGGUUGGUGACGAAAGAAUCACACAAUCCCUACUGGAAUUAACAUGAUAUAAAUUCCUCCCCGGGUGGGGCCGUCUCUCUUCCUUGCACUUUUUUCUCCCCUUAGGCCCCUCAACCACCAGCAGAGAGUUCUUUCAUACUCUUCCAUAUGUUCAGGCAGCUGUUCAAGACAGAUUAUUUUGGAUUUAUUGAUUUCUUUAUAAAUUAAUCACUCUGCAACAAGAAUAUAGCAAAUUAAAUUAUCCUAUCCAUAUAGGCUUCUGUGAAAGAAAAAAAUUACAUACACAGACACACAAAAGCAUUCCUCCCUCUCCCUAGAGCCUCCUUCCCAUAGCAUAUGAAUUAUUUAUGAUUCUGUAUCAGUCAAGACACUUCAAUAAUGAAAAUGCCCAAGCAAUGGUAUUUACAAAAGUUUUUUAUGGUCAUUGUUUUCACUAAAAUGGUUUUGCUAAGGUGGUUUUUGAUCCUUGUAUAUGUAGUGCACUAUAAAAAUCUCUAUUUUAAGACUUACUAACAUACGACACUAAAUAUAUAUGUAGCUUUAACUCAACAAGACAGUAUUUUUGGGAGAUGGUCAGAGCAUUAUAGCUUUUCCAAAAAACAACUCAUUAAAGCUGAUUUUUGGAACCCAAGCUACAGACGAAAUUUGUUUACUCAUCACUUAUUCAAGACAGGAACAUUGUCUUAAGACUAGUAAUUAAGCAGUUACUUCUUCAGUUUGUGCACUGAAUAUUUUAUUAUUCAAAUUUAUUAUCAGUCUUAUUGUUUUAGUUGCAAUAAUAAAGGAUCCAAAUCAAAUAAGCUGAUGCCAGCAUAGAGGAUGCAGAUGAACUUGGGAAGCAAUACAGGAUGUUACAUCCCUUGUAUGAGAGAGAUGGGGUAAAAAGUGGUGGGUUCCUGUUGUCAUUGUGGUUCCUCUAUGGUCUCUAACAUAUCUUUAAAAGCUACUCCCUAAGAAAAGUAUAUCAGCUGUCUUGUGAUCAUUUGAGGUACAAGGAGUGAGAAAAAAAAAUACAUCCAGAAGAAAAAAAUUGGGGUUUGCUUCAUGUUGUUUCAGGGCACAACCCAAAAUGUGCAAAGAUGAAAAAUAGUGACAUUAAAAUAAUGGCAUCAUAUGUGAUUUGAGCCUCAACUCUUACUUUGACAUUCAAAAUGGGCAGAUGCACACUUUUUACUGAUUUUAUUCAAUUCUUAUUAAAGUUACUUUGAGUGCUAAUCUAUUACCAAUCCUAUGUUCCUGUUUAUACUGAAUAUGUUAUAUCACAAGACCCUGUUGAGCUAUAGAAAUCCAAAAUGGUAUAGUAAGGUUGCACAUACACAGGAAAGAAAGCUGUGGAAAGAACUUGCAAAACAGGAUGUCAAGACCAUUUGAAGAGUUAUUUUGCUGGCUAUCUAUACCUACAUAUUGUUCAUUGAUCCUCAAGGAAUAGUGAAUGCUCUUGGCAGGAAAUUUAAUAUUCUACAUGAUGCCGAUGAAAUACCUAUGAAUUCUUAGACAUAGCCCCUCCUUCUCCAUGCACUGACCACCCCCCCCCCCGCCUCUGCAAGCAUAAAGGAGACCACAAAGGCAUAUAGAGUGUGUUCAUACAUACACAGAAACAGGGGACUUCAGGCAGGCUGGUUGGUUCAUUUGUUGGUUGGAUGAAUUUUAAGUAAAAUAUUUUCCCUCCUAUAUAGAAACUUGUCAGUAAAGUCUCCAGAUAGGAAAUGUUAAUCAUCACAUGGAAGAAAAAGCUACCAGCUUAAAUAUCCUUUCUGUAUGGAGCAGGUCACCUAACUUCUUAGGGCCUUAGGUGCUUUGAUUAAAAUGAGGAACUGAACUCUAUAGUCUGUAAACUUCCCUCCAGCUCUGCAGUUCUAAAUCUAGAUCUAUUACCUCCUUAGCACAAGACCUAAAAGGUCUGAAUUCUCUUGUAACUGAUUUCUCAUUUUACACCCAGACCAGAGCGUGUGACUGUGAGUGUUAUAAAGAGCCACUUGGGUCCUAGAAGUUACAACUAAGCUCUGCUUUAGAGAUAAGCAAAGGGGCUCAAAAAGGACUUCCUUUAAUUAUCUGAGGCUAUGAUAAUUUCCAAGAAUCUACAUUCAUCAGAGCACAUAUUGGAAAACAGGGCUUCCUACUUUCCAGAUGGCACAGAGGGUGAUUGGGGAAUAGUUCUAGAGAAUAAUGCAAGUUAUGCUCAAAUGGGGCCCUUUCAAAGGAGGGGGGACAAAGUAAUAUUUUUCCUCAAUUAUAGCUCUCUGUGCCAAUUCCUGUAUUUUACAUACCACAAGGAUGCAAAUGAUCCUUUAGGGAGGAAUGUUAUCAAGCAUAUUGGAAAGAAAGGAUCACAAGGCUGGGGUAAAGACUAGCUAUUUUAAUAAUACAAGGGGCCAAUUGCUUAUUCUUUGGAGAGUGACUAUAGCAAGCAAUUAAAUUCCUAAAGCCUCAAUAAAAUGAAUGUUGAUUACACCUAAGAAUCUGUAAUAAAACAGAAACAACUUCUUUUUUCCCAGCAUAUAAUUUCAAGCUUGUGGCUUAGGUAUUAUAUAUGUUUAUUUUCUAUUUUUAUAAAAUAAGACUAGUUUUCAGUUAUUAGCAAGAAAAAUUAAAAUCCUGGUUUUAAGAGAAUCAUCUUCAAAGAUGGUAAAUUUCUUCUGAAACAGUUGUAGUUUUGUUUUCUAUCAUCCAAGUCUUAAUGUUCUCAAAACAUGGGCAGGACUUUUACUUUACCUAAUGUUCCAAGUCAGAAUUUCUACACUUGGGCCCUAAAGCAGGCACAUAGGAAACAUUAAUUUCAUUACAGGGAUCUAAGCAUUCUGCAGUUUCCAUGGCUCAAAAAUGUAAGAUAGAAUACUUGCUCUUUCAUACCACUCCUUCCAAAAAUGUCUUUUGCGUGACAUUCCAAAUUAGGCCUUGGGAAUCUAACUGGGUACUUUUGAAAAUGAAAAUACGCUUUAUGAGACCAGAGAUUGUAGAUAAAGAACAAUUACCGCAAUCCUAAGAAAUCCUAAAAAGCCCGGGGUAGGAGUUCCUGUCGUGGUGCAAUGGUUAACGAAUCCGACUAGGAACCAUGAGGUUGCGGGUUCGGUCCCUGCCCUUGCUCAGUGGGUUGAGGAUCUGGCGUUGCUGUGAGCUGUGGUGUAGGUCGCAGAUGCGGCUCGGAUCCUGCGUUGCUGUGGCUCUGGCGUAGGCCGGUGGCUAGGGCUCCAGUUAGACCCCUAGCCUGGGAACCUCCACA
RNAcentral lists this long non-coding RNA (5039 nucleotides) under Sus scrofa (pig). Its description in RNAcentral is "lncRNA (ENSSSCG00000057711.1)". The record is from RNAcentral. Lineage: Eukaryota; Metazoa; Chordata; Mammalia; Artiodactyla; Suidae.